CGACCUGGCUCACACCGGUCUAAACUCAGAUCAUGUAAAAUUUCAAAGGUCGAACAGACCUAAUAGUUUAGCCUCUACACCAAACAUUUAUUUUAAUCCAACAUCGAGGUCGCAACCCCCCUUUUCGAUAAGAACUCUAAAAGAGAUUACGCUGUUAUCCCUAAGGUAAUUUAUUCUUAUAAUCUAUAACUCAAGGCUCAUUAAAACACAAAUUAGUGAUUUAAAUAAAAAAAAGUUUUAUUAAUUUUUCCAUCUCCCCAACUAAAUAAUUUUUCCUAUAAAUCAUUUCCAAACCUUUAAAACAUCUUGUAGAUAAAAAUAUAAAACUCUAUAGGGUCUUCUCGUCUUCUACCAUUAUUUAAGCUUUCUCACUUAAAAAUAAAAUUCAACUAAAUUCCUAUAGAGACAGUUCUUUUUUCAUCAAACCCUUCAUUCCAGCUUUCAAUUAAAAAACUAAUGAUUAUGCUACCUUUGUACGGUCAAUUUACCGCAGCCAUUUAACUUAUCAUUGGGCAGGUCAGACUUGAAAUUAUAAUC
This 537-nucleotide ribosomal RNA is filed under the name Trigonopterus sp. 448 MB-2015. RNAcentral describes it as "partial 16S ribosomal RNA". Lineage: Eukaryota; Metazoa; Arthropoda; Insecta; Coleoptera; Curculionidae. The record is from RNAcentral.